UACGUAGGGCGCGAGCGUUGUCCGGAAUUAUUGGGCGUAAAGAGCUCGUAGGCGGCCUGUUGCGUCUGCUGUGAAAUCCCGAGGCUCAACCUCGGGCCUGCAGUGGGUACGGGCAGACUGGAGUGCGGUAGGGGAGAAUGGAAUUCCUGGUGUAGCGGUGGAAUGCGCAGAUAUCAGGAAGAACACCAAUGGCGAAGGCAGCUCUCUGGGACGGUACUGACGCUGAGACGCGAAAGCGUGGGGAGCGAACAGG
Molecule: ribosomal RNA, 253 nt
Filed under: uncultured bacterium
Lineage: Bacteria
Description: partial 16S ribosomal RNA
Rfam family: Bacterial small subunit ribosomal RNA
Source: RNAcentral